UACAGAGGGGGCAAGCGUUGUUCGGAAUUACUGGGCGUAAAGGGCGCGUAGGCGGCCAACUAAGUCAGACGUGAAAUCCCUCGGCUUAACCGGGGAACUGCAUCUGAUACUGGAUGGCUUGAGUUCGGGAGAGGGAUGCGGAAUUCCAGGUGUAGCGGUGAAAUGCGUAGAUAUCUGGAGGAACACCGGUGGCGAAGGCGGCAUCCUGGACCGGUUCUGACGCUGAUGCGCGAAAGCGUGGGUAGCAAACAGG
RNAcentral lists this ribosomal RNA (253 nucleotides) under uncultured bacterium. RNAcentral describes it as "partial 16S ribosomal RNA". It matches the Rfam family "Bacterial small subunit ribosomal RNA", at positions 524 to 776 of the family's 1533-position model. The record is from RNAcentral.